This 508-nucleotide ribosomal RNA is filed under the name uncultured bacterium. Its description in RNAcentral is "partial 16S ribosomal RNA". It matches the Rfam family "Bacterial small subunit ribosomal RNA", at positions 28 to 507 of the family's 1533-position model. The record is from RNAcentral.
GACGAACGCUGGCGGCGUGCCUAAUACAUGCAAGUCGAACGCUUCUUUCCUCCCGAGUGCUUGCACUCAAUUGGAAAGAGGAGUGGCGGACGGGUGAGUAACACGUGGGUAACCUACCCAUCAGAGGGGGAUAACACUUGGAAACAGGUGCUAAUACCGCAUAACAGUUUAUGCCGCAUGGCAUAAGAGUGAAAGGCGCUUUCGUGUGUCGCUGAUGGAUGGACCCGCGGUGCAUUAGCUAGUUGGUGAGGUAACGGCUCACCAAGGCCACGAUGCAUAGCCGACCUGAGAGGGUGAUCGGCCACACUGGAACUGAGACACGGCCCAGACUCCUACGGGAGGCAGCAGUAGGGAAUCUUCGGCAAUGGACGAAAGUCUGACCGAGCAACGCCGCGUGAGUGAAGAAGGUUUUCGGAUCGUAAAACUCUGUUGUUAGAGAAGAACAAGGACGUUAGUAACUGAACGUCGCCUGACGGUAUCUAACCAGAAAGCCACGGCUAACUACGUG